UAUUAUCUACUCCACUCACCCCACACCAACUCAAAACUAAAAACUUUCCAACUCAACUGGUGGAUCAAUCAACAUUGGCUUGCUUCCAGCGGCAGCGUGGAAAGUUCGAUUCCUGAUGGGAACCUGCGGCCAAAAAAAUUUGGUAUGGAGCAAUCACUGUGAAGGAGGGUCUCUUGUGCGCAGAAGUGUACAGUCAAUGGGGGGAACCUGUGAUCCAAUUGAGGCAUAUCCCGGGAUUUACCCUCUCCAAGAUUCUAGGGGCAUGGAUCUUGAAGGUUCAGGGUUUAGUCUGGUGUAAGUUGGAAUACCUGAAUAUCAAAAAAAAAUAAAAAUAAUAACUCUCCAAAUUCCAGCACCACCACCCCCACCUAACUUCGACGCCACCUCAUUCAUCAUCACCACUAUCACCACACGACGUAAUUCUCCGAUGUAACUCUAACACCACCUCUCUUAUCUUCACCUAAAAUCACGGAAGAGGUAUUGAAAACUCAAAAUCCUACUUUUGCAGCGAGGCCAAGAAGUCUAGCUCGUUAAAUUAUUUCCAAUAAUAGAGUUGCGUGGAAAGGAUGCUAGCUUUGCAACACAGAAGACGAAGAAUCGAAGCCGCAAGUCUCAAUUUGUACCGUGAAAUCAUAUCAAUUGAUUGCAAUUCUUCAAUCUCAAUCCCACACAUAUCGUCGAUUUUUGGCUCAUUUUUUUACAAAGGGCAUCGAAAGCUGGGCCGAAAACAUAAGCACUGGUGUCAAUUCUUGAUUUUCUAGAAAUUUGUCCAACUUUUGGCAAAGAAAAAGAUGUGGGCAAUACAGAAAAUGCCUGAUUUUUGCGAUUGUGGGUUAAUUCUAGCCUAAUUAGUGGUGUUCUGUGGGUUUAAGGUUGAAAGGAAGAGCAAGAGGUGUUGGAGUUGCGUGUUGAAAAUAGAUAUACAGAUAAUUGCAUGUUGGUGAUGAUGGGUGAGGUGGUGUCGGAGUUGGGUGGGUGUGGUGGUGCCGGCAUUUUGGAGGUUUUGGGUUGGGUUGGAGUGGGCUG
Molecule: long non-coding RNA, 1026 nt
Filed under: Olea europaea (common olive)
Lineage: Eukaryota; Viridiplantae; Streptophyta; Magnoliopsida; Lamiales; Oleaceae
Description: long non-coding RNA (OEUR_LNC012324)
Source: RNAcentral